RNAcentral lists this transfer RNA (68 nucleotides) under Protambulyx astygonus. RNAcentral's name for it is "tRNA-Pro". The record is from RNAcentral. Lineage: Eukaryota; Metazoa; Arthropoda; Insecta; Lepidoptera; Sphingidae.
CAUAGAAUAGUUUAAUUUUAAAAUUAUAAUUUUGGAGAUUAUUGAUAAAGGUAUUUCUUUUUCUUUGA